GUAGACCUGGGGGGCGCAGCCUGUACAGCCAUGCCGCGUGCAGGAAGAAUGCCCUAUGGGUUGUAAACUGCUUUUAUUUGGGAAUAAACCUCUUUACGUGUAGAGAGCUGAAGGUACCAAAUGAAUAAGCACCGGCUAACUCCGUGCCAGCAGCCGCGGUAAUACGGAGGGUGCAAGCGUUAUCCGGAAUCAUUGGGUUUAAAGGGUCCGCAGGCGGGCUUAUAAGUCAGUGGUGAAAGCCUACAGCUUAACUGUAGAACUGCCAUUGAUACUGUAAGUCUUGAAUUCGGUCGAAGUGGGCGGAAUGUGUAGUGUAGCGGUGAAAUGCUUAGAUAUUACACAGAACACCGAUAGCGAAGGCAGCUCACUAGGCCUGGAUUGACGCUCAGGGACGAAAGCGUGGGGAUCAAACAGGAUUAGAUACCCUGGUAGUCCACGCCGUAAACUAUGAUUACUCGUUUUCGGCGAUAUACUGUCGGAGACUAAGCGAAAGUGAUAAGUAAUCCACCUGGGGAGUACGAUCGCAAGGUUGAAACUCAAAGGAAUUGACGGGGGCCCGCACAAGCGGUGGA
Molecule: ribosomal RNA, 572 nt
Filed under: uncultured bacterium
Lineage: Bacteria
Description: bacterial SSU rRNA
Rfam family: Bacterial small subunit ribosomal RNA
Source: RNAcentral